AUCCAGACUCCUACGGGAGGCAGCAGUGGGGAAUAUUGCACAAUGGGGGAAACCCUGAUGCAGCGACGCCGCGUGAGCGAUGAAGUAUUUCGGUAUGUAAAGCUCUAUCAGCAGGGAAGAAAAUGACGGUACCUGAAGAAGAAGCCCCGGCUAACUACGUGCCAGCAGCCGCGGUAAUACGUAGGGGGCAAGCGUUAUCCGGAUUUACUGGGUGUAAAGGGAGCGUAGACGGCGAUGCAAGCCAGAUGUGAAAGCCCGGGGCUCAACCCCGGGACUGCAUUUGGAACUGUGUGGCUGGAGUGUCGGAGAGGCAGGCGGAAUUCCUAGUGUAGCGGUGAAAUGCGUAGAUAUUAGGAGGAACACCAGUGGCGAAGGCGGCCUGCUGGACGAUGACUGACGUUGAGGCUCGAAAGCGUGGGGAGCAAACAGGAUUAGAUACCCGGGUAU
RNAcentral lists this ribosomal RNA (447 nucleotides) under uncultured bacterium. RNAcentral describes it as "bacterial SSU rRNA". It matches the Rfam family "Bacterial small subunit ribosomal RNA", at positions 329 to 793 of the family's 1533-position model. The record is from RNAcentral.